UACGUAGGCAGCAAGCGUUGUUCGGAGUUACUGGGCGUAAAGAGUGCGUAGGCGGUCUUUUAAGUUUGGUGUGAAAUCUCCCGGCUCAACUGGGAGGGUGCGCCGAAAACUGGGAGGCUUGAGGAUGGGAGAGGCAUGCGGAAUUCCUGGUGUAGCGGUGAAAUGCGUAGAUAUCAGGAGGAACACCUGCGGUGUAGACAGCAUGCUGGACCGUUUCUGACGCUGAGGCACGAAAGCGUGGGUAGCAAACAGG
This 253-nucleotide ribosomal RNA is filed under the name uncultured bacterium. Its description in RNAcentral is "partial 16S ribosomal RNA". It matches the Rfam family "Bacterial small subunit ribosomal RNA", at positions 524 to 776 of the family's 1533-position model. The record is from RNAcentral.